RNAcentral lists this ribosomal RNA (253 nucleotides) under uncultured bacterium. RNAcentral's name for it is "partial 16S ribosomal RNA". It matches the Rfam family "Bacterial small subunit ribosomal RNA", at positions 524 to 776 of the family's 1533-position model. The record is from RNAcentral.
GACGAACCGUGCGAACGUUGUUCGGAAUCACUGGGCUUAAAGGGCGCGUAGGCGGGCUCACAAGUCAGGGGUGAAAGCCCACGGCUCAACCGUGGAAGUGCCUUUGAUACUGUGGGCCUCGAGGGAGGUAGGGGCGUGCGGAACUUCCGGUGGAGCGGUGAAAUGCGUAGAUAUCGGAAGGAACACCGGUGGCGAAAGCGGCGCGCUGGACCUCUACUGACGCUGAGGCGCGAAAGCCAGGGGAGCAAACGGG